Molecule: ribosomal RNA, 253 nt
Filed under: uncultured bacterium
Lineage: Bacteria
Description: partial 16S ribosomal RNA
Rfam family: Bacterial small subunit ribosomal RNA
Source: RNAcentral
UACGUAGAGUGCGAGCGUUAAUCGGAAUUACUGGGCGUAAAGCGUGCGCAGGCGGUUUUGUAAGCCAGAUGUGAAAUCCCCGGGCUUAACCUGGGAAUGGCAUUUGGGACUGCAAGGCUGGAGUGCGGCAGAGGAGACUGGAAUUCCUGGUGUAGCAGUGAAAUGCGUAGAUAUCAGGAGGAAUACCGAUGGCGAAGGCAGGUCUCUGGGCUGACACUGACGCUCAUGCACGAAAGCGUGGGGAGCAAACAGG